Molecule: ribosomal RNA, 442 nt
Filed under: uncultured bacterium
Lineage: Bacteria
Description: partial 16S ribosomal RNA
Rfam family: Bacterial small subunit ribosomal RNA
Source: RNAcentral
CCUACGGGAGGCUGCAGUGAGGAAUAUUGGGCAAUGGGCGCAAGCCUGACCCAGCAACGCCGCGUGAAGGAAGGAGGCUUUCGGGUUGUAAACUUCUUUUGACAGGGAAGAGUAGAAGACGGUACCUGUCGAAUAAGCCACGGCUAACUACGUGCCAGCAGCCGCGGUAAUACGUAGGUGGCAAGCGUUGUCCGGAUUUACUGGGUUUAAAGGGCGUGUAGCCGGGUUGACAAGUCAGAUGUGAAAUCCGGCGGCUUAACCGCAGAACUGCAGUUGAAACUGUUGAGCUUGAGUACUGGUGAGGCAGACGGAAUGCGUAGUGUAGCGGUGAAAUGCGUAGAUAUUAGGAGGAACACCAGUGGCGAAGGCGGUCUGCGGGACAGCAACUGACGGUGAGGCGCGAAAGCGUGGGGAGCAAACAGGAUUAGAUACCCUGGUAGUC